AGCGCAACCCUACCGUUUAGUUGCUAACAGGUGAAGCUGAGCACUCUAGACGAACUGCCGUUGACAAAACGGAGGAAGGUGGGGAUGACGUCAAAUCAUCAUGCCCCUUAUGUUCUGGGCUACACACGUGCUACAAUGGCCGGUACAGACGGAGGCGAAGCCGCGAGGCGGAGCAAAUCCGAAAAAGCCGGUCUCAGUUCGGAUUGCAGGCUGCAAUUCGCCUGCAUGAAGUCGGAAUCGCUAGUAAUCGCAGGUCAGCAUACUGCGGUGAAUACGUUCUCGGGCCUU
This 288-nucleotide ribosomal RNA is filed under the name uncultured Pelotomaculum sp. Its description in RNAcentral is "partial 16S ribosomal RNA". It matches the Rfam family "Bacterial small subunit ribosomal RNA", at positions 1095 to 1382 of the family's 1533-position model. The record is from RNAcentral. Lineage: Bacteria; Bacillati; Bacillota; Clostridia; Eubacteriales; Desulfotomaculaceae.